GGGAUGGUCGGAAUAAGGGCGUAUGGAGGAUGCCUAGACACCAAAGAGCGAUGAAGGACGUAGCGUAGCUGCGAUAAGCUCCGGGGAGGUGCGUAGCAACCGGCGAUCCGGAGAUGUCCGAAUGGGGGAACCCUCCCGAGUAAACCUCGGGAAUCCCGACGCAAGUCGGGGAGCACACCCGCUGAAGUGAAACAUCUCAGUAAGCGGUGGAACAGAGAAAAACAUUUUAUUCCCCAAGUAGCGGCGAGCGAAAAGGGAAGAGCCCAAACCCGUUCUUAUGUUCGCAAGAAUAAAGGGACGGGGGUUGUAAGAAAAUACAUCUUUUCGUUUCGCAGAGUUCCGGAACUUCCGGGAUUCCGCGAUACGAAAAGGAGAAGUUACAAAAUCGUUUGUUAGCCGAGGCCUCUGGAAAGAGGCGCCACAGAGGGUGAUAGCCCCGUAGGCGAAAAUAAAUGAUCUUCUUGUAUUUUUCUUGAGUACCUCGACGACAGAAAGCUUCGAGGGAACCCGCCAGUACUAUCUGGCAAGGCUAAAUAUCUUUGGUGAUCGAUAGUGAACAAGUACCGUGAGGGAAAGGUGAAAAGCAGGCCGGUGAGGCCGAUGAAAUAGAACCUGAAACCAUACGCCUACAAGGACCUAGAGCCCGCAAGGGUGAUAGGGUGCCUAUUGAAGAAUGAGCCAACGACUUUAGGUGCGCGGCUUGGUUAAUCCGCGAUGAGCGGGGGAGCCAUAGGGAAACCGAGUGUGAAUAGCGCGUGGCCCGCAAGGGCCGUGUCGUGCGCCUAAGACCCGAAACCAGAGCGAGCUUGCCCUGGGCAGGUUGAAGGUCGCAGAAAUGCGACUGGAGGACCGAACCGGUGGGUUGUUCAACACCCUCGGAUGACCUGGGGUAAGAAGUGAAAAGCUAAUCGAGCCUGGUAAUAGCUGGUUCUCUCCGAAAUAGCUUUCGGGCUAGCGUCAUGCAUAAACACGCCGGGGGUAGAGCACUGGAUGGUCUGUAAAGGGCGAAAGCUCAGCAGACCAAUCAAACUCCGAAUACCGGCGUAACCGGCAUGGCAGUCAGACCAUGGGGGCUAAGCUCCGUGGUCAAAAGGGAAACAGCCCAGACCGUCGUCUAAGGUCCCUAAAUACGUGCUAAGUGUUAAAGGCAGUUUCACGCCAGUGACAGAUAGGAGGUUGGCUUAGAGGUAGCCAUCCUUUAAAGAGUGUGUAACAACUCACUAUUCGACGGCGUGAUGCGCCGAAAAUGUACCGGGGCUAAGCACGUUACCGAAAACACGGAUUUUGUCGGUCUUCGGACUGACAGAGUGGUAGGAGAGCAUUUCGAGCGCAGCGAAGGUUGACCCGCGAGGGCGACUGGAGCGCUCGGAAGAGAGAAUGUUGGCAUGAGUAACCACAAUCCCAAUGAGAAAUUGAGACCCCGCAAAUCCAAGGUUUCCGUGGCACUGUCAAUCAACCACGGGUUAGGCGGUCCUAAGGCAAUGGUGAGAACCGCAGCUGAUGGACAGCAGGUUAAUAUUCCUGCCCUUCGGGCGCGUUGCGAGGGAGUGACGAGGGACAUAAGUCCGAGUGCCUUAUUGGUUUGGCAUUCAUGGCGAGAGAUUUCCGAUCGCCGUGCGAAUGCGCCGUAUUUGCGGCGCAAACUCGGGUGAAGAGCCCUCCAAGAAAAGCUCCCAAGCGUUAACGCGCACGGAUCCGUACCGUAAACCGACACUGGUGGAUGAGGCGAGUAGCCUCAGGGGAACGAGUGAUUCUUCCUUAAGGAACUCGGCAAACAAGCGGCCGUAAGUUAGCGAUAAGGCCUGCCCUUCGCAAGAAGGGCCGCAGCGAAAGUAUCUCUGGCGACUGUUUACCAAAAACACAGCUCCCUGCGAACUCGCAAGAGGAUGUAUAGGGGGUGACGCCUGACCGAUGCGAGAAGGUCAAGACUGGGGGUGUUAUGCAGCAAUGUGUACUGCCUACUGGUUUAAGCCCUCGUCAAUGUCAGCCGUAACUAUAACGGUUCUAAGGUAGCGCAUUUCCUUUCCGGGUAAGUUCCGGAGCGCACGAAAGGCGUAACGACUGGAGAACUGUCUCAAGGAAGAGCUCGGUGAAAUUGCGAUUCCCGUGAAGACGCGGGAUACCUGCAGCGGGACGAAAAGACCCCGGGAGCUUUACUGUAGCUUGGUAUUGGUUUUAGAACUGCAAUGCGUAGCGUAGUGGGUAGAGGUUGAAGGGCCGGUUUCGGCUGGCCUGGACUCGUCAAUGAAACACCCAUCUUUGCGGUUUUAACGUCUAACCCCAACGGCAAAAACGUUGAGGGACAGUGCCUGGUGGGCAGUUUAAAUGGGGCGUUUUCCUCCUAAAGAGUAACGGAGGAGUUUAUCAAGGUCGGCUUAGCCCGGAUGGAAAUCGGGCUGGACGUGUAAAGGCACAAGCCGGCUUAACUGCGAGACCUACAAGUCGAGCAGAUGCGAAAGCAGAACUUAGUGACCCGACGGUUCUUCAUAGGAAGGCCGGAGACAACGGACAAAAGUUACCCCGGGGAUAACAGGCUGGUCUUGCCCGAGAGUUCCUAUCGACGGCAAGGCUCGGCACCUCGAUGUCGGCUCGCCCUAGCGCGGGGCUGGAGAAGGUCCCAAGCGUUUGGCUGUUCGCCAAUUAAAAGGGCACGCGAGCUGGGUUCAGACCGUCGUGAGACAGGUUGGUCUCUAUCUGUUGCAGGCGUUGAUACUUGCGGGGAGUUGGCCCUAGUACGAGAGGACUGGGCUGAACGUACCUCUGGUCUACCGGCUUUGCCACCAGGCGAACCGCCGGGUAGCUAUGUAUGGACGGGAUAAGCGCUGAAAGCAUCUAAGCACGAAGCCCACCCCAAGAUUAGGUAUCGUCCGAAAGGACAAGAUCUCCUCGAAGACUACGAGGCUGAUAGGCUCUAGGUGUGCGCACCGUAAGGUGUUUAGCCAAGGAGUACUAAUGAUCUCCCGACCAUUCCAA
Molecule: non-coding RNA, 2973 nt
Organism: Candidatus Liptonbacteria bacterium
Lineage: Bacteria; Candidatus Liptoniibacteriota
Source: Rfam